This 428-nucleotide long non-coding RNA is filed under the name Phasianus colchicus (ring-necked pheasant). RNAcentral describes it as "lncRNA (ENSPCLG00000002707.1)". Lineage: Eukaryota; Metazoa; Chordata; Aves; Galliformes; Phasianidae. The record is from RNAcentral.
AUGUUGGGGCAGCAAUUGCUUGUCCAAGAUUAUCUGAUGACAGUAAGCGGAACUGAUCCAAGUCAAUCCAAUCCAAGUAAGUGUGAAGCUCCAACCGUGCCCUCUACCUGGGACUGGAUGCUCCUGAGAACAGCUGCUACUUGAAAGCAAAUGCAACAUACGGGACAUGUAUUAAAAAAUGAAGAGUUACUGCUGUAACCAUACUAAUCCCAGCCUUGCAAAUGGGAUUCAUGUAGUAAACAAGAGGUGGAAAGAGAAGGUGAAAUCCAAAAGUUGAUGCUGCUGGACACCUAACUCUACAGGCAAGGACAGAUGGUAAGACAGCAUAGUCUUCAUUAGAACAGCCAUGACACCUGUGUCUUGUCUGUAGAACACUAAAAGUCUCUCAGAAUAGUAAGAGAAUAAAAUCUCAAAGAGGGAAAGUGGCA